UGCGUAGGUGGCCGGUUAAGUCUGACGUGAAAUCUCCGAGCCUAACUCGGAAACUGCGUCGGAAACUAUCCGGCUCGAGGGUUGGAGGGGGACUGGAAUACUUGGUGUAGCAGUGAAAUGCGUAGAUAUCAAGUGGAACACCAGUGGCGAAGGCGAGUCCCUGGCAACUCCUGACACUGAGGCACGAAAGCUAGGGGGAGAAC
Molecule: ribosomal RNA, 203 nt
Filed under: uncultured bacterium
Lineage: Bacteria
Description: partial 16S ribosomal RNA
Rfam family: Bacterial small subunit ribosomal RNA
Source: RNAcentral